UUCCGGCUGGUGGCGGCCGCCGCAGGAAGGGCCGGUUCCUGCGCUCCCCCCGCCCCUUUCCCUCGCCUUCGGCUGACGCUGACGUCGGAUGAGUGAUCCGGUGGGACGCUCCGACCGCGGCCGGGAGGCUCCUGGGGGCCGGGGCUCCGAGGUACCUGCCCUCCGGGGUCGGGGCGGGGGCGCGCCGGGCGGGCUGCAGGAGGCAGCAGGAGACGCCCGGCAGCCGGGACGGUCGGGGACGCCUGCAAUAGAAGAAGAAGAAAACAUGUCAGGACACAAAUGCAGUUAUCCCUGGGACUUACAGGAUCGAUAUGCUCAAGAUAAGUCAGUUGUAAAUAAGAUGCAACAGAAAUAUUGGGAGACGAAGCAGGCCUUUAUUAAAGCCACAGGGAAGAAGGAAGAUGAACAUGUUGUUGCCUCUGACGCAGACCUGGAUGCCAAGCUAGAGCUGUUUCAUUCAAUUCAGAGAACCUGUCUGGACUUAUCGAAAGCAAUUGUACUCUAUCAAAAGAGGAUAUGUUUCUUGUCUCAAGAAGAAAACGAACUGGGAAAAUUUCUUCGAUCCCAAGGUUUCCAAGAUAAAACCAGAGCAGGAAAGAUGAUGCAAGCGACAGGAAAGGCCCUCUGCUUUUCUUCCCAGCAAAGGUUGGCCUUACGAAAUCCUUUGUGUCGAUUUCACCAAGAAGUGGAGACUUUUCGGCAUCGGGCCAUCUCAGAUACUUGGCUGACGGUGAACCGCAUGGAACAGUGCAGGACGGAAUAUAGAGGAGCACUAUUAUGGAUGAAGGACGUGUCUCAGGAGCUUGAUCCAGACCUCUACAAGCAAAUGGAGAAGUUCAGGAAGGUACAAACACAAGUGCGCCUUGCAAAAAAAAACUUUGACAAAUUGAAGAUGGAUGUGUGUCAAAAAGUGGAUCUUCUUGGAGCAAGCAGAUGCAAUCUCUUGUCUCACAUGCUAGCAACAUACCAGACCACUCUGCUUCAUUUCUGGGAGAAAACUUCUCACACUAUGGCAGCCAUCCAUGAGAGUUUCAAAGGUUAUCAACCAUAUGAAUUUACUACUUUAAAGAGCUUACAAGACCCUAUGAAAAAAUUAGUUGAGAAAGAAGAGAAGAAGAAAAUCACCCAGCAGGAAAGUACAGAUGCAGCCGUGCAGGAGCCGAGCCAAUUAAUUUCAUUAGAGGAAGAAAACCAGCGCAAGGAAUCCUCUAGUUUUAAGACUGAAGAUGGAAAAAGUAUUUUAUCUGCCUUAGACAAAAGCUCUACACAUACUGCAUGCUCAGGACCCGUAGAUGAACUAUUAGACAUGAAAUCUGAGGAAAGUGCUUGCCUGGGACCAGUGGCAGGGACCCCAGAACCUGAAGGUGCUGACAAAGAUGACCUGCUGCUGUUGAGUGAGAUCUUCAAUGCUUCCUCCCUGGAAGAGGGCGAGUUCAGCAAAGAGUGGGCCGCUGUGUUUGGAGACGGCCAAGUGAAGGAGCCAGUGCCCACUAUGGCCCUGGGAGAGCCAGACCCCAAGGCCCAGACAGGCUCAGGUUUCCUUCCUUCGCAGCUUUUAGACCAAAAUAUGAAAGACUUACAGGCCUCGCUACAAGCGGCUGCCUGGGGAAUGUGAGGAUUGUCCCAAAGCAUAGUCACUGGCUCCUCACGGCAAGGCCAUGAGAACGCUCAGAAGACCUCCUAAGACCCUUGAGGAGAACCUGCUAAGGCUGCCUCAGACCUGACUGCCUGGUUCAGCCUCUUCGCUGACCUCGACCCACUCUCAAAUCCUGAUGCUGUUGGGAAAACCGACAAAGAACACGAAUUGCUCAAUGCAUGAAUCUGUACCCUUCAGGAGGGCACUCACAUGCCGCCCCCAGCAGCUCCCCUGGGGGCUAGCAGAAGUAUAAAGUGAUCAGUAUGCUGUUUUAAUAAUUAUGUGCCAUUUUAAUAAAAUGAAAGGGUCAACGGCCCUGUUUAUAUUGGUAUAA
RNA transcript from Gorilla gorilla gorilla (western lowland gorilla), 1970 nucleotides. It is a transcript of the gene named islet cell autoantigen 1, with no coding region annotated. Lineage: Eukaryota; Metazoa; Chordata; Mammalia; Primates; Hominidae. The record is from RefSeq and is a predicted model, not a curated record. The transcript has 15 exons.